Molecule: ribosomal RNA, 446 nt
Filed under: uncultured bacterium
Lineage: Bacteria
Description: partial 16S ribosomal RNA
Rfam family: Bacterial small subunit ribosomal RNA
Source: RNAcentral
GCCAGACUCCUACGGGAGGCAGCAGUGGGGGAUAUUGCACAAUGGGGGCAACCCUGAUGCAGCGACGCCGCGUGAGCGAUGGAGUACUUCGGUAUGUAAAGCUCUGUCAGCAGGGAAGAGAAUGACGGUACCUGACCAAGAAGCCCCGGCUAAAUACGUGCCAGCAGCCGCGGUAAUACGUAUGGUGCAAGCGUUAUCCGGAUUUACUGGGUGUAAAGGGAGCGCAGGCGGUUCUGCAAGUCUGAUGUGAAAGCCCGGGGCUCAACCGCGGGACUGCAUUGGAAACUGCGGGACUGGAGUGUCGGAGGGGUAAGCGGAAUUCCUGGUGUAGCGGUGAAAUGCGUAGAUAUCAGGAGGAACACCGGUGGCGAAGGCGGCUUACUGGACGAUGACUGACGCUGAGGCUCGAAAGCGUGGGGAGCAAACAGGAUUAGAUACCCCGGUAU